RNAcentral lists this small RNA (28 nucleotides) under Bombyx mori (domestic silkworm). Its description in RNAcentral is "ovarian small RNA-14949". The record is from RNAcentral. Lineage: Eukaryota; Metazoa; Arthropoda; Insecta; Lepidoptera; Bombycidae.
CUGGGACCAGAUAAUCGACUUUUAUCGG